UCUGAAUCUGCGAACGGCUCCGCAAACCAGUUGUAAACCAAAGCAAGCAUACUCGGGGUUUGCCCUUCACGGGGUCGGCUACGGGUGAUACGGGUAACCCUGGUAAUUCUGAGGCUAAUACGAGAAUGUACUCCCUGGCUAACCGGGAAACUGGUAGGCUGGGGGGCGUGUGAUCUAUUUGCAAGACGAUUCCAGGAAGGGGUGCACGCUCUGACCGCGACAAAGACAGUUCUGACGGACCCUCACGGGCGAGUUGGUUCUGAGCGGCUCUUGCGAAGUGCUUCUGACCUAUCAACUAGACGGCAGCGUAACGGACAUGCCAUGGU
This 326-nucleotide ribosomal RNA is filed under the name Diderma alpinum. RNAcentral's name for it is "bacterial SSU rRNA". It matches the Rfam family "Eukaryotic small subunit ribosomal RNA", at positions 80 to 350 of the family's 1831-position model. The record is from RNAcentral. RNAcentral also lists the same sequence under 2 other names. Lineage: Eukaryota; Evosea; Eumycetozoa; Physariida; Didymiaceae.